UAGGGAAUAUUGGACAAUGGGCGCAAGCCUGAUCCAGCCAUGCCGCGUGAGUGAUGAAGGCCUUAGGGUUGUAAAGCUCUUUCAGCGGGGAAGAUAAUGACGGUACCCGCAGAAGAAGCCUCGGCUAACUCCGUGCCAGCAGCCGCGGUAAUACGGAGGAGGCUAGCGUUGUUCGGAAUUACUGGGCGUAAAGCGUGCGUAGGCGGUUUUCUAAGAUGAGUGUGAAAGCCCGGAGCUCAACUCCGGAACUGCGCUCAUGACUGGAAUACUUGAGUCCGAGAGAGGUGAGUGGAAUUCCCAGUGUAGAGGUGAAAUUCGUAGAUAUUGGGAAGAACACCAGUGGCGAAGGCGGCUCACUGGCUCGGUACUGACGCUGAUGCACGAAAGCGUGGGGAGCAAACAGG
RNAcentral lists this ribosomal RNA (404 nucleotides) under uncultured bacterium. RNAcentral's name for it is "bacterial SSU rRNA". It matches the Rfam family "Bacterial small subunit ribosomal RNA", at positions 355 to 776 of the family's 1533-position model. The record is from RNAcentral.